CGAGCGGCGGACGGGUGAGUAACACGUGGGUAACCUGCCCAAGAGACUGGGAUAACACCUGGAAACAGAUGCUAAUACCGGAUAACAACACUAGACGCAUGUCUAGAGUUUGAAAGAUGGUUCUGCUAUCACUCUUGGAUGGACCUGCGGUGCAUUAGCUAGUUGGUAAGGUAACGGCUUACCAAGGCAAUGAUGCAUAGCCGAGUUGAGAGACUGAUCGGCCACAUUGGGACUGAGACACGGCCCAAACUCCUACGGGAGGCAGCAGUAGGGAAUCUUCCACAAUGGACGAAAGUCUGAUGGAGCAACGCCGCGUGAGUGAAGAAGGGUUUCGGCUCGUAAAGCUCUGUUGGUAGUGAAGAAAGAUAGAGGUAGUAACUGGCCUUUAUUUGACGGUAAUUACUUAGAAAGUCACGGCUAACUACGUGCCAGCAGCCGCGGUAAUACGUAGGUGGCAAGCGUUGUCCGGAUUUAUUGGGCGUAAAGCGAGUGCAGGCGGUUCAAUAAGUCUGAUGUGAAAGCCUUCGGCUCAACCGGAGAAUUGCAUCAGAAACUGUUGAACUUGAGUGCAGAAGAGGAGAGUGGAACUCCAUGUGUAGCGGUGGAAUGCGUAGAUAUAUGGAAGAACACCAGUGGCGAAGGCGGCUCUCUGGUCUGCAACUGACGCUGAGGCUCGAAAGCAUGGGUAGCGA
Molecule: ribosomal RNA, 692 nt
Filed under: uncultured bacterium
Lineage: Bacteria
Description: bacterial SSU rRNA
Rfam family: Bacterial small subunit ribosomal RNA
Source: RNAcentral